GGUUUGGGUUGGCCGUGGGUGGGACAGGUGGACUGAUUGGAAGGGCCUGGUCUGUUUAAUCGGAAACAUUUAAGUUUCUUCGUCAUUUGUGUUAAAUAUUCACAAAAGUGAAACCAUGUUUGGCUACUAAAAAAUUUGACAAAACGAAUAUAUAGCUUGUUUGUAAUAGAGAGUAGAUACCAGUUGUGCAACAUUGAACACCAUCUGAUAUGUUGUAUUAUGUUUUCAACCCGUGAUAUAGAACUGGCAUCUAAUUCGGAAUUGAACUUAAAUUCCGUUUCAGUCCCAGAACUAAAUCCGUAACAAUAUUUAUCUCCACUCACCUUAUCGCAUUAUGGGACCUUUCCCGGCAAUUUCCAGGCCACGGAAACUAUUUUCGCGGCUCAUUUAACGGGUUCGUUCUAUCCGAGGAGAGAAAUCAUAAAAAGCACAUAAAAAUACACAUUUUUAUUGCCUGCGGGCAGCUUAGAGCGCCCAUCCCUGGCAUCAUGUAUAUCAAAUUUGCCACGAUUACGGAGACGCCUCACCGCGCUCACGCCCGAGGGCUGGACCCGAAAAAAAUGGGAUAGCAGAGGAAUACGUUCGAAACUCAUUUCCUGCCCGAGAAGAAUUAUGAAAAAAUUCAAAAAGCUGGAGCCGCCUGCAGCUUUG
Molecule: long non-coding RNA, 651 nt
Organism: Drosophila biarmipes
Lineage: Eukaryota; Metazoa; Arthropoda; Insecta; Diptera; Drosophilidae
Exons: 4
Source: RefSeq, a predicted model, not a curated record